UACCUGGCGGAUGCUUACACAUGCAGUCGAACGGCCAGACAACGGUACUUCGGUCUCGGUGCCUGAGUGGCGAACGGGUGUGUAUAUAUUCGGAACGUGCCCAUUCGUGGGGGAUAACGUACUGAAAAUUACGCUAGUACCGCAUACGAUCUACGGAUGAAAGCGGGGGAUCGCAAGACCUCGCGCGAUUGGAUCGGCCCAUAUCAGAUUAGGUAGUUGGUGAGGUAAAGGCUCACCAAGGCCAACGAUCUGUAGCUGGUCUGAGAGGACUGACUCACGCCACACUGGAACUGAGACACGGUCCAGACUCCCUACGGGAGGCAGCAGUGGGGAAUAUUGGACAAUGGAGCGCAAGUCUGAUCCAGCCAUUCCGCGUGCUAGUGACAGAAGGCCUUCAGUGGUUGUAAACGUCGACUUUUGUACCAGAGACGAAAGACGUGUCUUCUGAGUUUAAUACUCACGGAGCUCAUGACCGGUACUGCCAACGAAUAUAGCACCGGGUAACUACGUUGUCCACGCAGACCGCGGCAAUAUCGUAAGGUGCGGACCGUUAAUCUGGAAUUACUGGGCGUUAAGCGUGCGGCAUAGCGGGGUAUGUAUAGACUAGAUGUCAAAUCCCCGGGCUCAACCUGGGACCUGGAUUUGUAGACUGCGCUAAGCGUUGAAGUAUCGGGAGA
This 677-nucleotide ribosomal RNA is filed under the name uncultured beta proteobacterium. Its description in RNAcentral is "bacterial SSU rRNA". It matches the Rfam family "Bacterial small subunit ribosomal RNA", at positions 37 to 667 of the family's 1533-position model. The record is from RNAcentral. Lineage: Bacteria; Pseudomonadati; Pseudomonadota; Betaproteobacteria.